GGAGGAAUAUUGGAAAAUGGACGAGAGUCAGAACCAGCCAAGGAGCGUGCAGGAUGACGGCCCUAGGGGGUGUAAACUGCUUUUGUUGGGGAAUAAGCGACAUUACGUGGAAUGUGUUGCAUGUACCAUUCGAAUAAGGACCGGAUAAUUCGGUGCCAGCAGCCGCGGUAAUACGGAAGGGCCAGGCGUUAUGCGGAUUUAUGGGGUUUAAAGGGAGUGUAGGCGGUUGGUUAAGCGGGUGGUGAAAUGUAGAUGCUCAACAUCUGACUUGCAGCGCGAACUGGUUGACUUUAGUACACACACUGUAGGCGGAAUUCAUGGUGUAGCGGUGAAAUGCUUAGAUAUCAUGAAGAACUCCGCUUGCGAAGGCACCUUACGGGAGUGUUACUGACGCUUACGCUCGCAGGUGCGGGUAUCGAACAGG
This 424-nucleotide ribosomal RNA is filed under the name Verrucomicrobiota bacterium. RNAcentral describes it as "Verrucomicrobia bacterium partial 16S ribosomal RNA". It matches the Rfam family "Bacterial small subunit ribosomal RNA", at positions 355 to 776 of the family's 1533-position model. Lineage: Bacteria; Pseudomonadati; Verrucomicrobiota. The record is from RNAcentral.